GAUCCUGGCUCAGGAUGAACGCUGGCGGCGUGCCUAAUACAUGCAAGUAGAACGCUGAAGGAAGGAGCUUGCUCUUUCCGGAUGAGUUGCGAACGGGUGAGUAACGCGUAGGUAACCUGCCUGGUAGCGGGGGAUAAACUAGUUGGAAACGAUAGCUAAUACCGCAUAACAGUAGAUGUUGCAUGACAUUUACUUGAAAGGUGCAAAUUGCACCACUACCAGAUGGACCUGCGUUGUA
RNAcentral lists this ribosomal RNA (238 nucleotides) under uncultured bacterium. RNAcentral describes it as "partial 16S ribosomal RNA". It matches the Rfam family "Bacterial small subunit ribosomal RNA", at positions 15 to 240 of the family's 1533-position model. The record is from RNAcentral.